AUUGAACGCUGGCGGCAGGCCUAACACAUGCAAGUCGAGCGGUAGAGAGAAGCUUGCUUCUCUUGAGAGCGGCGGACGGGUGAGUAAUGCCUAGGAAUCUGCCUGGUAGUGGGGGAUAACGUUCGGAAACGGACGCUAAUACCGCAUACGUCCUACGGGAGAAAGCAGGGGACCUUCGGGCCUUGCGCUAUCAGAUGAGCCUAGGUCGGAUUAGCUAGUUGGUGGGGUAAUGGCUCACCAAGGCGACGAUCCGUAACUGGUCUGAGAGGAUGAUCAGUCACACUGGAACUGAGACACGGUCCAGACCCCUACGGGAGGCAGCAGUGGGGAAUAUUGGACAAUGGGCGAAAGCCUGAUCCAGCCAUGCCGCGUGUGUGAAGAAGGUCUUCGGAUUGUAAAGCACUUUAAGUUGGGAGGAAGGGCAGUAAAUUAAUACUUUGCUGUUUUGACGUUACCGACAGAAUAAGCACCGGCUAACCCUGUG
RNAcentral lists this ribosomal RNA (484 nucleotides) under uncultured bacterium. RNAcentral describes it as "partial 16S ribosomal RNA". It matches the Rfam family "Bacterial small subunit ribosomal RNA", at positions 30 to 507 of the family's 1533-position model. The record is from RNAcentral.